GAUGAACGCUAGCGGCAGGCUUAACACAUGCAAGUCGAGGGGUAGAAUUUCUUCGGAAAUUUGAGACCGGCGCACGGGUGCGUAACGCGUAUGCAAUCUACCCUUUACUGGAGAAUAGCCCGGAGAAAUUCGGAUUAAUGCUCCAUAUGCUCGUAGGAUCUCCUGAUCCAGCGAGGAAAGCUCCGGCGGUAAAGGAUGAGCAUGCGUCCCAUUAGCUUGUUGGUGAGGUAACGGCUCACCAAGGCGACGAUGGGUAGGGGGCCUGAGAGGGCGAUCCCCCACACUGGUACUGAGACACGGACCAGACUCCUACGGGAGGCAGCAGUGGGGAAUUUUGGACAAUGGGCGCAAGCCUGAUCCAGCAAUGCCGCGUGAGUGAAGAAGGCCUUCGGGUUGUAAAGCUCUUUUGUCAGGGAAGAAACGGUGGAGGCUAAUAUCCUCUACUAAUGACGGUACCUGAAGAAUAAGCACCGGCUAACUACGUGCCAGCAGCCGCGGUAAUACGUAGGGUGCAAGCGUUAAUCGGAAUUACUGGGCGUAAAGCGUGCGCAGGCGGUUUUGUAAGUCUGUCGUGAAAUCCCCGGGCUCAACCUGGGAAUUGCGAUGGAGACUGCAAGGCUAGAAUCUGGCAGAGGGGGGUAGAAUUCCACGUGUAGCAGUGAAAUGCGUAGAGAUGUGGAGGAACACCGAUGGCGAAGGCAGCCCCCUGGGUCAAGAUUGACGCUCAUGCACGAAAGCGUGGGGAGCAAACAGGAUUAGAUACCCUGGUAGUCCACGCCCUAAACGAUGUCUACUAGUUGUCGGGUUUUAAUUAACUUGGUAACGCAGCUAACGCGUGAAGUAGACCGCCUGGGGAGUACGGUCGCAAGAUUAAAACUCAAAGGAAUUGACGGGGACCCGCACAAGCGGUGGAUGAUGUGGAUUAAUUCGAUGCAACGCGAAAAACCUUACCUACCCUUGACAUGUCAGGAAGACCGGAGAGAUCUGGU
RNAcentral lists this ribosomal RNA (989 nucleotides) under uncultured bacterium. RNAcentral's name for it is "bacterial SSU rRNA". It matches the Rfam family "Bacterial small subunit ribosomal RNA", at positions 28 to 1012 of the family's 1533-position model. The record is from RNAcentral.